GACGAACGCUGGCGGCGUGCUUAACACAUGCAAGUCGAACGGAAAGGCCCUGCUUUUGUGGGGUGCUCGAGUGGCGAACGGGUGAGUAACACGUGAGUAACCUGCCCUUGACUUUGGGAUAACUUCAGGAAACUGGGGCUAAUACCGGAUAGGAGCUCCUGCUGCAUGGUGGGGGUUGGAAAGUUUCGGCGGUUGGGGAUGGACUCGCGGCUUAUCAGCUUGUUGGUGGGGUAGUGGCUUACCAAGGCUUUGACGGGUAGCCGGCCUGAGAGGGUGACCGGCCACGUUGGGACUGAGAUACGGCCCAGAGUGCUACGGGAGGCAGCAGUGGGGAAUAUUGCGCAGUGGGCGGAGGCCUGAUGCAGCAACGCCGCGUGCGGGAUGACGGCCUUCGGGUUGUAAACCGCUUUCGCCUGUGACGAAGCGUGAGUGACGGUAAUGGGUAAAGAAGCACCGGCUAACUACGUG
This 468-nucleotide ribosomal RNA is filed under the name uncultured bacterium. RNAcentral describes it as "partial 16S ribosomal RNA". It matches the Rfam family "Bacterial small subunit ribosomal RNA", at positions 28 to 507 of the family's 1533-position model. The record is from RNAcentral.